RNAcentral lists this ribosomal RNA (330 nucleotides) under uncultured Bacillota bacterium. RNAcentral's name for it is "bacterial SSU rRNA". It matches the Rfam family "Bacterial small subunit ribosomal RNA", at positions 28 to 351 of the family's 1533-position model. Lineage: Bacteria; Bacillati; Bacillota. The record is from RNAcentral.
GACGAACGCUGGCGGCGUGCUUAAUACAUGCAAGUCGAACGGGGUUACUUUGGAAGCUUGCUUUUGGAGUAACUUAGUGGCGGACGGGUGAGUAACGCGUGGGCAACCUGCCCUCUAGUCGGGGACAACAGCUCGAAAGGGCUGCUAAGACCGGAUAUGCUCACACCCGGACAUCCGGGAGUGAGAAAAGGAAACGCUAGAGGAUGGGCCCGCGUUCCAUUAGCUUGUUGGUGAGGUAACGGCUCACCAAGGCGACGAUGGAUAGCCGACCUGAGAGGGUGAACGGCCACACUGGGACUGAGACACGGCCCAGACUCCUACGGGAGGCAG